Xiphophorus couchianus (Monterrey platyfish) is the source of this 933-nucleotide long non-coding RNA. RefSeq lists it as uncharacterized. The record is from RefSeq and is a predicted model, not a curated record. The transcript is spliced from 2 exons. NCBI's taxonomy places the organism in Eukaryota, Metazoa, Chordata, Actinopteri, Cyprinodontiformes, Poeciliidae.
AAACACCUGAGUCACGGUGACGAUGCGCUACGUCAUCAUUAAGGUUGUUGAAGUCCAUCUAUGUGCGAAGACAAAACACUUUUUUACACCUGAAAAAUACCUGAAUACCACCUGUAACCAGACAGAGGUGAUUCUACCUUACAGGAAUCAUUCAGGCGAUCCAAAGAACCAGCACCGGUUCAGUUAGAUGGAACAGAACCACGGAUUCAGAAUCUGGCUCAGGGUUCUGUGGAGGAUCCAGAAGCUUCUGGUCUGCUGUUUGUUUCUCAUUGUCAAUAAAGUUUCAUCUCCCAAAGCAGGAAGUGGGUGAGGCGAUGAGUCAGGGUCACGGGAUGAAAGCUGCUGAUGGAUCAUGACUCGGCAGGAAAACUGAAGACCCAGAUGUGAUCCGGAAGAAGUUUUCCGUUCUGCUCCUUCCAGGUCAUCGACCUUCAGCUGACCAGCAAAAACCAAGACAGACAAGUUACAAGUUUUUAUUUUGCUUUAAAAGAUAAACUGGAUUAGAUCCUAAAAAAACGUCCAUUUUGAUUUCUGUGCCGACAGUAAACAGUUAGGAUUUACCUCCUGAGUGGGUUUAGAACUGAUGAUAAAGUUAUGUUGAAUGCAGACAGAAAUGAUAAUUAGCAUUUUUAUUACAGUUGCAGAUUUUCAUAUAAAUGAUUAAACAACAGAACCCUGAGGAACUCCUUCAGAAGUGAUUUCUCCCCGACACGUAGAACUUCCAGAGUCUCCAGAACCUUUUUCAGAUCCAGAACAGUUAUUCCCAUCGGACCGGUUCUGUUGUGACGAGGUAACUGCAGAUUUAUGGACCUGAUCGGUUCUGGUGCUCCCAGGGUCCAAACAGCAAGUAAAAAUAAACUUAGGAGGAAAUUAAAUAAUUUGAGAACAGAUUUUAUUUAAAAAGGUGAAAGAUAAAAGUUUAAAUUACAGAUG